RNAcentral lists this ribosomal RNA (606 nucleotides) under Sutterella seckii. Its description in RNAcentral is "partial 23S ribosomal RNA". It matches the Rfam family "Bacterial large subunit ribosomal RNA", at positions 388 to 997 of the family's 2925-position model. Lineage: Bacteria; Pseudomonadati; Pseudomonadota; Betaproteobacteria; Burkholderiales; Sutterellaceae. The record is from RNAcentral.
UCUGUGAGACUAGGCUUGCGACAAGUAGGGCGGGACACGAGAAAUCCUGUCUGAAGAUGGGGGGACCAUCCUCCAAGGCUAAAUACUCGUGAUCGACCGAUAGUGAACCAGUACUGUGAAGGAAAGGUAAAAAGAACCCCGGGAGGGGAGUGAAAUAGAUCCUGAAACCGCAUACAUACAAACAGUAGGAGCCCGCAAGGGUGACUGCGUACCUUUUGCAUAAUGGGUCAGCGACUUACGUUCAAUGGCGAGCUUAACCGGAUAGGGGAGGCGCAGCGAAAGCGAGUCCGAACAGGGCGAAAUUCAGUCGUUGGGCGUAGACCCGAAACCAGAUGAUCUAUCCAUGGUCAGGCUGAAGGUGUGGUAACACACACUGGAGGGCCGAACCGACUAGUGUUGCAAAAUUAGCGGAUGAACUGUGGAUAGGGGUGAAAGGCUAAACAAAUCUGGAGAUAGCUGGUUCUCCCCGAAAACUAUUGAGGUAGUGCCUCGUGUAUGGCUCCAGGGGGUAGAGCACUGUUAUGGCUAGGGGGACAUGGCGUCUUACCAAACCAUGGCAAACUCCGAAUACUUGGAAGUCAGAGCACGGGAGACAGAGCACCGGGU